AUUGAACGCUGGCGGCAUGCCUUACACAUGCAAGUCGAACGGCAGCGGGCCUUCGGGUGCCGGCGAGUGGCGAACGGGUGAGUAAUGCAUCGGAACGUGCCAUUGAGUGGGGGAUAACGUAGCGAAAGUUACGCUAAUACCGCAUAUUCUGUGAGCAGGAAAGCAGGGGACCGCAAGACCUUGCGCUCUGGGAGCGGCCGAUGUCGGAUUAGCUAGUUGGUGGGGUAAAGGCCUACCAAGGCGACGAUCCGUAGCGGGUCUGAGAGGAUGAUCCGCCACACUGGGACUGAGACACGGCCCAGACUCCUACGGGAGGCAGCAGUGGGGAAUUUUGGACAAUGGGCGGAAGCCUGAUCCAGCCAUGCCGCGUGAGUGAAGAAGGCCU
RNAcentral lists this ribosomal RNA (385 nucleotides) under uncultured bacterium. Its description in RNAcentral is "bacterial SSU rRNA". It matches the Rfam family "Bacterial small subunit ribosomal RNA", at positions 29 to 417 of the family's 1533-position model. The record is from RNAcentral.